GGUGUAGUGGCGUAGUGGCUUGAGCAUUGAACUAGGACUCUGGAGACCAAGGUUCGAAUCCCAGCUCGGUCA
This 72-nucleotide transfer RNA is filed under the name Phrynosoma platyrhinos (Desert horned lizard). RNAcentral describes it as "tRNA-OTHER". The record is from RNAcentral. Lineage: Eukaryota; Metazoa; Chordata; Lepidosauria; Squamata; Phrynosomatidae.